This 510-nucleotide ribosomal RNA is filed under the name uncultured bacterium. RNAcentral describes it as "partial 16S ribosomal RNA". It matches the Rfam family "Bacterial small subunit ribosomal RNA", at positions 28 to 507 of the family's 1533-position model. The record is from RNAcentral.
GACGAACGCUGGCGGCGUGCUUAACACAUGCAAGUCGAACGAAGAGCGAUGGAAGCUUGCUUCUAUCAAUCUUAGUGGCGAACGGGUGAGUAACGCGUAAUCAACCUGCCCUUCAGAGGGGGACAACAGUUGGAAACGACUGCUAAUACCGCAUACGAUCUAAUCUCGGCAUCGAGGAUAGAUGAAAGGUGGCCUCCACAUGUAAGCUAUCACUGAAGGAGGGGAUUGCGUCUGAUUAGCUAGUUGGAGGGGUAACGGCCCACCAAGGCGAUGAUCAGUAGCCGGGCUGAGAGGAUGAACGGCCACAUUGGGACUGAGACACGGCCCAGACUCCUACGGGAGGCAGCAGUGGGGAAUCUUCCGCAAUGGACGAAAGUCUGACGGAGCAACGCCGCGGGAGGGAUGACGGCCUUCGGGUUGUAAAGCUCUGUUAAUCGGGACGAAAGGCCUUCUUGCGAAUAGUGAGAAGGAUUGACGGUACCGGAAUAGAAAGCCACGGCUAACUACGUG